UAGGGAAUCUUCCGCAAUGGGCGAAAGCCUGACGGAGCAACGCCGCGUGAGUGAUGAAGGUCUUCGGAUCGUAAAACUCUGUUAUUAGGGAAGAACAAAUGUGUAAGUAACUAGGCACGUCUUGACGGUACCUAAUCAGAAAGCCACGGCUAACUACGUGCCAGCAGCCGCGGUAAUACGUAGGUGGCAAGCGUUAUCCGGAAUUAUUGGGCGUAAAGCGCGCGUAGGCGGUUUUUUAAGUCUGAUGUGAAAGCCCACGGCUCAACCGUGGAGGGUCAUUGGAAACUGGAAAACUUGAGUGCAGAAGAGGAAAGUGGAAUUCCAUGUGUAGCGGUGAAAUGCGCAGAGAUAUGGAGGAACACCAGUGGCGAAGGCGACUUUCUGGUCUGUAACUGACGCUGAUGUGCGAAAGCGUGGGGAUCAAACAGG
RNAcentral lists this ribosomal RNA (429 nucleotides) under Actinomycetes bacterium. RNAcentral describes it as "Actinobacteria bacterium partial 16S ribosomal RNA". It matches the Rfam family "Bacterial small subunit ribosomal RNA", at positions 355 to 776 of the family's 1533-position model. Lineage: Bacteria; Bacillati; Actinomycetota; Actinomycetes. The record is from RNAcentral.